RNAcentral lists this transfer RNA (70 nucleotides) under Scarus schlegeli (yellowband parrotfish). Its description in RNAcentral is "tRNA-Thr". It matches the Rfam family "tRNA". Rfam says of the family: Transfer RNA (tRNA) molecules are approximately 80 nucleotides in length. Their secondary structure includes four short double-helical elements and three loops (D, anti-codon, and T loops). Lineage: Eukaryota; Metazoa; Chordata; Actinopteri; Labriformes; Labridae. The record is from RNAcentral.
GCACUAGUGGCUUAAUAUAAAGCACCGGUCUUGUAAACCGGAAGAUGGAGGUUUAACUCCUCCCUGUUGC